Gallus gallus (chicken) is the source of this 1266-nucleotide long non-coding RNA. Lineage: Eukaryota; Metazoa; Chordata; Aves; Galliformes; Phasianidae. The record is from Ensembl.
UUGUAUGGUUGAGAACAGCAGAAGGUUUAGAGCCUCAAGCCAAAUCCAUAAUACAUUGCUUAAAAAAAAAAAAAGAAAAGAAAAGAAAAGAAAAAAAAAAUCCCAUUGCAUUCAACAGCACUGGGUCUUGUCCCUGAAAGUCUGGUUUUGAUCUGCAACAAAUUUCCAAGGUUUAGCUCUAUCUUACUUCUCGAUUCCAUGUACACUUUUACCUUCUCAUUCCAUGUAUAGACAUAGGCUUUCUAUUAAAAAAAAGUAAUGAGAAGAAUUGUCACCUCUGCUGCUAUGAUUUUUUGGCAUACCAACUGCAGCCUUCUGGACUAUGCUAAUCUCUGACAAGACUGAGACACAGACCUAACUAAAAUAGUCUAGAACAGCCAACACCAUUCUUAAAAUAGUUUCACAUUUUUUUUAAUCUAUUUUUACUGGCUAGGGCAAGAUUUAAUCUUUCAAUCAUAAGGUUGUGCCUUUGAUUUUAUUUUAAAAUGUGUUAGAAACUCUUUAAAUACAUGGUUUACUAUGUGUAUCUUCUGGAAUGAGUUAGAUAACUUCAAACCUAUAUAAAAUUACGAGCCAUGAGUUAGUCUUCAUCAAGCAGAAAUGCCACAUAACUUGCCUUUUCCAGAGGAGCAUCUUACGCUGAAAGACUGGUCUUAGUCAUGCCAUUGCACAAUAUGCGUGUGUUUAAUGCAGUCACUUGCCUCUACAUUGCAAUUUCUUUUUUGAGUCUUGCAUGCUCAAAUCACUAGAAUGGCUGCCCCAUCCCUAUCUCAGGUUAUCUAAGUCACAAGAGCUGGGAAGCUGAGUGGCUGGCCAUCAUUCCCACCACUCAGUGAAAUGACUCGGUUGAGGCUUGGUUCCCCUUCUCCCAGAUCACAAGGUAAGGAGGAGCGUUAUAAUAGCAUACCACAUCAUCUUGGCCUUUGGAUUAAAGAUUCCACUUUGAGAAGAAAUUAGAAGAAGUUCAACUUAAGCAAGAGCUACAGUAGGAGAAAAUUGUAACGUUCUACUCUCUGCUCUGCACUUGACUUAGAUAGCAAGUCAAAGUUCAGACUUCAGAUAUGCAAAGUUUCUGAUCUGCAGCUGCAGAUCAGACUUGUUAUCCUGAGCCCUAUACACUAAAAUACCUCUAAAUAACAUCAUUUUGAGAAAGCUGUCCAUAACCAACUUUGGAUUCAGUCCCUCCUCUAAGUUUAGCAUGUAAUACCAAUCUCUAUCAGAGGAAGAUCAAGAGAGAUUUAAUCAUUUAAAAAUUGCUUUGAGGUC